Molecule: long non-coding RNA, 3863 nt
Organism: Xenopus laevis (African clawed frog)
Lineage: Eukaryota; Metazoa; Chordata; Amphibia; Anura; Pipidae
Exons: 5
Source: RefSeq, a predicted model, not a curated record
GGGUUUAUCACAUCAUCUUGGCAGUUUGGAGGGUUUCUGUGGGGGCAGGUAAGAAACCAGGAUAAAAGAACGCUGGACAAAUGUGAAGGGAGCUGGGCAGCUGAGAGGAGGCAGCUAGAGAGCGGGAGAAGCCAGAGGAGCCUGGGACAAGAGAACAUGUGAGGAAUGAAGACCAGAGGGGAAGACAGAGAUGAAGCUGAACUCUAUUCCCCUGCCUUUUUGAUCACAGGGAACACAUGUGCUGAGUGAACAUGGACGAAACAGCUGAGUGAGGGAAAGUUUCGAGAGCCUUAAAUCUCAACUCCAAGCGCGUCUUUCAUUAGAUCAUCUUGCGGCGACAAAACAAAGGUGACAAGUUGGAUGUAGUGGCAGGUAUCAAAAUAUAAUGGAACUAAACAAAAGUCUCAGGUAAAAACCACUACACGAUAAGCAAGACCCGGAGGAGGGCUGCCCGGAACUGCGAUCCCUGAAUCUGCACUGAGGGGUUACUAACUGAUCUGCAAAGAAUACUGAGUGCUGACUGCAUAAUGUGCACAAAGGUAUGAGACCCAGUGCAAUGUAAAUCGUGACAGCGUCUCAGGUAAUAUAAGAUCAGAAUAUGUUUACAUAAUUAUAUAAUAUUUGAUUGUUCUAAGAAGACUGUUAUGGACCAGGCCCGGACUGACAAUCUGUGUGUUCGGGCAUUCUCCCGACGGGCCGCUCUAUAUUUUAUUUAAGUGGGCCGCUCCUCACCUUCAACACAGCACUGAUUGCCUCAGGAGCUCUUUGAAUGCAUCCGAUGGGCACUAGGACCGCUCCUCCGUCCUAUCUCCCACGUGGCUCUGCCCCUCCCACUCCUCUCACGCUGCUGCUGCUGCCGUGCUGUGUGAGUGUCCCUGCAGCCCAUCUAUGGAGUACUCUGUGCUUUUAAUAUUGGAACAAGUUUUACAUCUACGUAACGGCAUAGCUGGCAGACGUCACAUCCAAGCGUCCAGAAAGAAACCAUGCAGCAAGCUGAUCGUGGAGGAAACGCUGGUCGGGACCCCAACAGCAUUUGCUGGAAAAGACUUGUAGCAGUACGGAUUUGCACGGAUAAGUGACUAUAUGCCUGGUUUUAACUACUAAAAUGUGAGUGUAACCAAUUGGUUUUUUAGAUAUUUAAUAAAAAGGGUUUUACACUAUUUUUGCGCAUUUUUAACCUCUUCCAGCCUAGAAGAAAUAUCUUGCAACUUUACAUUCUCCAACAAACGUGAUGUGCACUUGUUAAAUUUAAACGUUCGCAGAAUGGUGAUAUUCGAGUCCGUUUUGAGGGAUGUCGGUGCUUCCCUUUCCUGUGAUGUUUGGAUUGAUGGAGGUGGUUUAGCACUGACUAGGGCUGCAGACACUUUCAUGUGAAGAUGUUCAGCCUCAUUUCCUCGUACUUUGUUGUUAUUGAUUGAGGCUUCAUUAGCUGCGAUAAUAUCUACCACAGGGGUGGUUUUUGGAGAUAUUGCAAAGUUUAACCCUUUGGCUAUGACCUCCAACAUUCCAGAGGCUAUAUACUGAAGAAAGAUCCUAUGUACAAGUUAUUUCUGAUUUGAGAAAGCCAGUUGGAUAACUAGUGAAACAUCUUCAAGGAAACAGUGAGUCCAGUUGAUUUGACUUAUUUCUACAGAUAUACCAUGACCUGGAUGGUCACAAACAUAUUGCAACUCAUUUUGGGGGAGAAAACAGCAAGAAAACUGGCAGACUAUAGAAACCACCUGCGCUUAAACCUCCGAUGCUGACAACAUGGGCUAAUACCAUGCGGUAUAUGUCUAGAUUCCACGGUAGAGGGCCACAGCAGAUUCUACAGAAGGAAACCAAGCAGAUUCUACAGAAGACCCAUAAAUUACUGCUGAACAAAUGUUUAAGACAGACCCAUUUUACAGUUGAUGCCUUACAACACAACAUCACUCAGGUAGAACAAAGCUUGGUUACCUACCGCAAUCUGGGAAAGAGCGAGGGGGUUCACAAAACAAGCACAGCUUUGUCAGCAAGGAAAGGAGCAAGGAAAAGGCAACAGAACAAGUUCUCCAUCUUGGUAUCCCGUUCUGGGAAUAACCAAAAAGGAGAAAUUAACCUGGAGGAGAAAAGAAGGAACUGGGACACAGGAAAAUAAAGAAAAGUGGGUAAAGAAUCUGUAUAUUCCAGUGGAUAUAUACUGAGGAAAGAUCCUAUGUACAAGUUAUUCUGAAUUGAGAAGGAAAAAACACAGCGAGUCCAGUUGAUUUGACUUAUUUCUACAGAUACACCAUGGCCUGGAUGAAUGAGAAUCUUCACAAACAUUUUGUUCUGUCUCUUUACAGCUUUUAAAUGGUGUUUAUGGACCCUGACAGCCAAAAAGCUAUUACUAAUGUUUCUGUUCAGGUAUUCAUAUUCCAUGCUUUCAUUCACACCACUGCCUAGUUUAUCAGUAUGAGAAAUAAACCAGAUUAUUGUCAGCAUAUAAAUGGUAUUUAAACCAUAUAAACUGAUUAGUUGACUAAGAGAGGUUUGCAGCAAAUAGUAAGUAGCCAAGGCAUUAAGUAAAAAUCAUAAACCAUUGUAGGAGACACUGAAACAGUAAUUUGAAAGGUAUGUGGAAAAACCAGGACAGGGCAGAGUUCCAAAGGUCAAAAGAAUAUAGAACAGGCAGGGAGGGUGAUCCACUCAUAGAAUGCAAGUGCAAAGUUCUAAGAUUGAUGCAAAAUUGAGCACACAUUGAUGACAUUCAGAAAGGUACUUGCACCCACAUGUACUUCUGAUAACUUGUGACAAUGCCAAUGCAUCAUCCAGCCUGUUCCGAUGAACAAUGCGCAAGUGCAUGUAUUACACUUUAAUGUAAUGCAUUCUCAUAUAUUGUUAUAAUAUGAUGUUAUGUUGACACCCAUUGUGCAAUGAUGUGUCUUUUAAAUGGGUAAAUUGUAUAUUUCAUCAGUAGUAUUUUCAUGUUCUCUUUCAGCUUCCACAUUGCGUCAUUGUUAUGCCUUUUAAAAUAUGCAGUAAUCCCCAAUUGCCUGUUUACACCAUAUAAUCUCAUAAAUUAGUAGUAGCUCACGUUUUACCUGUCUAUUGCCAAAACAACCAUUGUGAUUCUGUGUGGAUGAAAUGCUGUCAAUCUCUGUGUAAAGUUAAUUGAGCAGACAGUUGGCAAGCCCUCCUACAGUAGGACAUGCAAACCAAUUUCUUUUAGGGCUGCUAUCAGAGGAAAAACAGGCAGGGCCCAGACAGGGCCGGAACUAGAGGUAGGCAGAAGAGUCGCCUGCCAAGAGAGAAAGGAUGGGGGGCACUGGGCAGGUGCUUGUUAAAGCAUCCUCUGUCUACCUCUAGUCUGUGUUCACUCACCCCUCCGCUUCUCACCCGUGUCCCUGCGGCCCUGCGAGAUAUCAUUGUGCUGGGUUUUCAUUUUGAGGGGUUGAACUUGAUGGACUUUUACUUUUUUCAACCCGAUUUAACUAUGUAACUAUGUAUACACAAGGUGAAGGGGGGUGGGCGGAGCGAGGUAGCCGGCCCAGUUGCCUAGAACGCCCGGUUGGCCUGGCCUAGACUAUCAUGUAACGGUCAAGAUUUUCUGAUAAGGGGGCAGGGUUUUGAUCCAGAGUUGGAUGUAUGAAGAUCAGGGCAAGACAGAAGCAUGAACAGGCAGUUAUGAGGCCUCACUAUUCCUCAUGCAAACACUGACCACAGUCUUUAGAGCGUGGUUUACCUUUACAUAAAAUUUUAGUAUGAUACAGAAAGUGAUAGUUUGCAAACGUUUUCAAUUUGUUUUGUGUUUUUCAAGUAUCUUUACGGUUGUAUGGUCUUUUGCACAGGGCUCUCUUUUAUCGGUUUUGUUUUUCAUGUAAUAUGUACAGUAUGCACCCAUUAAACAUUGUUUUUUUUAA